This 433-nucleotide ribosomal RNA is filed under the name uncultured bacterium. RNAcentral describes it as "partial 16S ribosomal RNA". It matches the Rfam family "Bacterial small subunit ribosomal RNA", at positions 29 to 507 of the family's 1533-position model. The record is from RNAcentral.
AACGAACGCUGGCGGCAUGCCUAACACAUGCAAGUCGAACGAUCCCUUCGGGGAUAGUGGCGCAAGGGUGUGUAACGCGUGGGAACCUGCCCUUAGGUUCGGAAUAACUCAGAGAAAUUUGAGCUAAUACCGGAUAAUGUCUUCGGACCAAAGAUUUAUCGCCUUUGGAUGGGCCCGCGUUGGAUUAGCUAGUUGGUGGGGUAAAGGCCUACCAAGGCGACGAUCCAUAGCUGGUCUGAGAGGAUGAUCAGCCACACUGGGACUGAGACACGGCCCAGACUCCUACGGGAGGCAGCAGUGGGGAAUAUUGGACAAUGGGCGAAAGCCUGAUCCAGCAAUGCCGCGUGAGUGAUGAAGGCCUUAGGGUUGUAAAGCUCUUUUACCCGGGAUGAUAAUGACAGUACCGGGAGAAUAAGCCCCGGCUAACUCCGUG